AUUGAACGCUGGCGGCAUGCCUUACACAUGCAAGUCGAACGGCAGCGGGGGAGACGCUUGCUUUUCCUGCCGGCGAGUGGCGAACGGGUGAGUACUACAUCGGAACGUGCCCUGUAGUGGGGGAUAACUAGUCGAAAGAUUAGCUAAUACCGCAUACGACCUGAGGGUGAAAGUGGGGGACCGCAAGGCCUCAUGCUAUAGGAGCGGCCGGUGUCUGAUUAGCUAGUUGGUGGGGUAAAGGCCUACCAAGGCGACGAUCAGUAGCUGGUCUGAGAGGACGAUCAGCCACACUGGGACUGAGACACGGCCCAGACUCCUACGGGAGGCAGCAGUGGGGAAUUUUGGACAAUGGGCGAAAGCCUGAUCCAGCAAUGCCGCGUGUGUGAAGAAGGCCUUCGGGUUGUAAAGCACUUUUGUCCGGAAAGAAAUGGCUCUGGUUAAUACCUGGGGUCGAUGACGGUACCGGAAGAAUAAGGACCGGCUAACUACGUGCCAGCCGCCGCCGUAA
RNAcentral lists this ribosomal RNA (508 nucleotides) under uncultured bacterium. RNAcentral's name for it is "partial 16S ribosomal RNA". It matches the Rfam family "Bacterial small subunit ribosomal RNA", at positions 30 to 523 of the family's 1533-position model. The record is from RNAcentral.